AUUGAACGCUGGCGGCAGGCCUAACACAUGCAAGUCGAGCGGAUGAAGGGAGCUUGCUCCUGGAUUCAGCGACGGACGGGUGAGUAAUGCCUAGGAAUCUGCCUGGUAGUGGGGGAUAACGUCCGGAAACGGGCGCUAAUACCACAUACGUCCUGAGGGAGAAAGUGGGGGAUCUUCGGACCUCACGCUAUCAGAUGAGCCUAGGUCGGAUUAGCUAGUUGGUGGGGUAAAGGCCUACCAAGGCGACGAUCCGUAACUGGUCUGAGAGGAUGAUCAGUCACACUGGAACUGAGACACGGUCCAGACUCCUACGGGAGGCAGCAGUGGGGAAUAUUGGACAAUGGGCGAAAGCCUGAUCCAGCCAUGCCGCGUGUGUGAAGAAGGUCUUCGGAUUGUAAAGCACUUUAAGUUGGGAGGAAGGGCAGUAAGUUAAUACCUUGCUGUUUUGACGUUACCAACAGAAUAAGCACCGGCUAACUUCGUG
RNAcentral lists this ribosomal RNA (484 nucleotides) under uncultured bacterium. RNAcentral's name for it is "partial 16S ribosomal RNA". It matches the Rfam family "Bacterial small subunit ribosomal RNA", at positions 30 to 507 of the family's 1533-position model. The record is from RNAcentral.